UCAGAUUGAACGCUGGCGGCAGGCCUAACACAUGCAAGUCGAGCGGGGUUUCGGACCUAGCGGCGGACGGGUGAGUAAUGCGUAGGAAGCUACCGAUAGAGGGGAUACCAGUUGGAAACGACUGUUAAUACCGCAUAAUGUCUACGGACCAAAGUGUGGGACCUUCGGGCCACAUGCUAUCGGAUGCGCCUACGUGGGAUUAGCUAGUUGGUGAGGUAAUGGCUCACCAAGGCGACGAUCUCUAGCUGGUUUGAGAGGAUGAUCAGCCACACUGGAACUGAGACACGGUCCAGACUCCUACGGGAGGCAGCAGUGGGGAAUAUUGGACAAUGGGCGCAAGCCUGAUCCAGCCAUGCCGCGUGUGUGAAGAAGGCCUUCGGGUUGUAAAGCACUUUCAGCGAGGAGGAAGAGUUGUGUGUUAAUAGUACACAGCUUUGACGUUACUCGCAGAAGAAGCACCGGCUAACUCUGUG
Molecule: ribosomal RNA, 473 nt
Filed under: uncultured bacterium
Lineage: Bacteria
Description: bacterial SSU rRNA
Rfam family: Bacterial small subunit ribosomal RNA
Source: RNAcentral